GAAUAUUAGUCAAUGCUCGAAAGAGUGAACUAGCUAACUGAAAUCAAUUAUAAUAAUUGAUAACAUAAGGGAAAAUAAUGAUAUUACCUUAUUAUUAGUGUCGUCCAAAUCUGGUGCCAGAAGACUCGGUAAGGCCAGAGACACAAACGUUAAUCGUCUUAAUCAGGCGUAAAGGGUUUGUAGGCGGCUUUAAAAUUUAUUUAUAAAAAAAAAUAAGUAAAGAAUAAAAGCUAGAAUCAAAUAGAGGAUAUAUGAAAGAAUGCUUAGAGUAGGUCUGAUAUCCUUAGAUACUAAGUAGAAUAUUAAAGGCGAAAGCUUUUUUCCAUUAAUGAUUGACGCUCAGAAACGAAGGUGAGGAUAGGAAAUAGGAUUAGAUACCCAGAAUACCCCUCUCUGUCAACGAUGAAUGGUAGUUAUUAGUACAAAUUAUUAAUGGCAAUGUUAACACGAUAACCAUUCCGCCUUGUGAGUACAACUGCAAAGUUGAAAACAAAAAAAUUAGUCGGUUUCGGAGCAAACGAAGUGAAGCAUGUUAUUUAAUUC
Molecule: ribosomal RNA, 543 nt
Filed under: Russula pelargonia
Lineage: Eukaryota; Fungi; Basidiomycota; Agaricomycetes; Russulales; Russulaceae
Description: mitochondrial SSU rRNA
Rfam family: Bacterial small subunit ribosomal RNA
Source: RNAcentral